This 57-nucleotide transfer RNA is filed under the name Eudiplozoon nipponicum. RNAcentral describes it as "tRNA-His". The record is from RNAcentral. Lineage: Eukaryota; Metazoa; Platyhelminthes; Monogenea; Mazocraeidea; Diplozoidae.
AGUAUAGGUUAAUUUUAAGCUGAUAUUUUGUGGUAAUAUAGAUCCUUUUUAGGUGCU